This 730-nucleotide ribosomal RNA is filed under the name uncultured bacterium. RNAcentral's name for it is "bacterial SSU rRNA". It matches the Rfam family "Bacterial small subunit ribosomal RNA", at positions 772 to 1501 of the family's 1533-position model. The record is from RNAcentral.
ACAGGAUUAGAUACCCUGGUAGUCCAUGCCGUAAACGAUGUCUACUAGCCGUUGGGGCCUUUGAGGCUUUAGUGGCGCAGCUAACGCGAUAAGUAGACCGCCUGGGGAGUACGGUCGCAAGACUAAAACUCAAAUGAAUUGACGGGGGCCCGCACAAGCGGUGGAGCAUGUGGUUUAAUUCGAUGCAACGCGAAGAACCUUACCUGGUCUUGACAUAGUAAGAACUUUCCAGAGAUGGAUUGGUGCCUUCGGGAACUUACAUACAGGUGCUGCAUGGCCGUCGUCAGCUCGUGUCGUGAGAUGUUGGGUUAAGUCCCGCAACGAGCGCAACCCUUUUCCUUAUUUGCCAGCGGGUUAAGCCGGGAACUUUAAGGAUACUGCCAGUGACAAACUGGAGGAAGGCGGGGACGACGUCAAGUCAUCAUGGCCCUUACGACCAGGGCUACACACGUGCUACAAUGGUCGGUACAAAGGGUUGCUACCUAGCGAUAGGAUGCUAAUCUCAAAAAGCCGAUCGUAGUCCGGAUUGGAGUCUGCAACUCGACUCCAUGAAGUCGGAAUCGCUAGUAAUCGCGGAUCAGAAUGCCGCGGUGAAUACGUUCCCGGGCCUUGUACACACCGCCCGUCACACCAUGGGAAUUUGUUGCACCAGAAGUAGGUAGUCUAACCGCAAGGAGGACGCUUACCACGGUGUGGCCGAUGACUGGGGUGAAGUCGUAACAAGGUAACC